AUUGAACGCUGGCGGAAUGCUUUACACAUGCAAGUCGAACGGCAGCACGGACUUCGGUCUGGUGGCGAGUGGCGAACGGGUGAGUAAUGUAUCGGAACGUGCCCAGUCGUGGGGGAUAACGUAGUGAAAAUUACGCUAAUACCGCAUACGAUCUAUGGAUGAAAGCGGGGGAUCGCAAGACCUCGCGCGAUUGGAGCGGCCGAUAUCAGAUUAGGUAGUUGGUGGGGUAAAGGCCCACCAAGCCAACGAUCUGUAGCUGGUCUGAGAGGACGACCAGCCACACUGGAACUGAGAAAGGGUCCAGACUCCUACGGGAGGCAGCAGUGGGGAAUUUUGGACAGUGGGCGAAAGCCUGAUCCAGCCAUUCCGCGUGCAGGAUGAAGGCCCUCGGGUUGUAGACUGCUUUUGUACAGAACGAAAAGGUUUCUACUAAUACUAGGAGCUCAUGACGGUACUGUAAGAAUAAGCGCCGGCUAACUACGUGCCAGCAGCCGCGGUAA
Molecule: ribosomal RNA, 500 nt
Filed under: uncultured bacterium
Lineage: Bacteria
Description: partial 16S ribosomal RNA
Rfam family: Bacterial small subunit ribosomal RNA
Source: RNAcentral